Molecule: ribosomal RNA, 115 nt
Filed under: Fasciola gigantica
Lineage: Eukaryota; Metazoa; Platyhelminthes; Trematoda; Plagiorchiida; Fasciolidae
Source: RNAcentral
GCGACCAUACCACGUUGGAAACACCGGUUCUCGUCUGAUCACGCAGUUACAGCAAGUCGGGCCCUGUUAGUACUUGCAUGGUGACCGGCCUGGAAAUACCGGUGUUGCGGCCGUU